Molecule: ribosomal RNA, 712 nt
Filed under: Lacticaseibacillus rhamnosus
Lineage: Bacteria; Bacillati; Bacillota; Bacilli; Lactobacillales; Lactobacillaceae
Description: bacterial SSU rRNA
Rfam family: Bacterial small subunit ribosomal RNA
Source: RNAcentral
AGGUGCUUGCAUCUUGAUUUGAUUUUGAACGAGUGGCGGACGGGUGAGUAACACGUGGGUAACCUGCCCUUAAGUGGGGGAUAACAUUUGGAAACAGAUGCUAAUACCGCAUAAAUCCAAGAACCGCAUGGUUCUUGGCUGAAAGAUGGCGUAAGCUAUCGCUUUUGGAUGGACCCGCGGCGUAUUAGCUAGUUGGUGAGGUAACGGCUCACCAAGGCAAUGAUACGUAGCCGAACUGAGAGGUUGAUCGGCCACAUUGGGACUGAGACACGGCCCAAACUCCUACGGGAGGCAGCAGUAGGGAAUCUUCCACAAUGGACGCAAGUCUGAUGGAGCAACGCCGCGUGAGUGAAGAAGGCUUUCGGGUCGUAAAACUCUGUUGUUGGAGAAGAAUGGUCGGCAGAGUAACUGUUGUCGGCGUGACGGUAUCCAACCAGAAAGCCACGGCUAACUACGUGCCAGCAGCCGCGGUAAUACGUAGGUGGCAAGCGUUAUCCGGAUUUAUUGGGCGUAAAGCGAGCGCAGGCGGUUUUUUAAGUCUGAUGUGAAAGCCCUCGGCUUAACCGAGGAAGUGCAUCGGAAACUGGGAAACUUGAGUGCAGAAGAGGACAGUGGAACUCCAUGUGUAGCGGUGAAAUGCGUAGAUAUAUGGAAGAACACCAGUGGCGAAGGCGGCUGUCUGGUCUGUAACUGACGCUGAGGCUCGAAAGCA